Puntigrus tetrazona (Sumatra barb) is the source of this 75-nucleotide non-coding RNA. The record is from the annotation of a RefSeq genome assembly. NCBI's taxonomy places the organism in Eukaryota, Metazoa, Chordata, Actinopteri, Cypriniformes, Cyprinidae.
GGCCGGUUAGCUCAGUUGGUUAGAGCGUGGUGCUAAUAACGCCAAGGUCGCGGGUUCGACUUCGUGCACGGGCCA